This 423-nucleotide ribosomal RNA is filed under the name uncultured bacterium. RNAcentral describes it as "partial 16S ribosomal RNA". It matches the Rfam family "Bacterial small subunit ribosomal RNA", at positions 361 to 776 of the family's 1533-position model. The record is from RNAcentral.
AUCUUGGACAAUGGGUGAAACCCUGAUCAACCCAUCCCGCGUGUAUGAUGAAGGCCUUCGUGUUGUAAAGUACUUUUGGCAGAGAAGAAAAGGUAUCCCCUAAUACGGCAUACAGCUUCUGGUAUCUGCAGAAUAAGCUCUGGCCACAUACGUGCCAGCAGCCGCGGUAAUAAGUAGGGUGCAAGCGUUAAUCGGAAUUACUGGGCGUAAAGCGUGUGUAGGCGGUUCGGAAAGAAAGAUGUGAAAUCCCAGGGCUCAACCUUGGAACUGCAUUUUUAACUGCCGAGCUAGAGUAUGUCAGAGGGGGGUAGAAUUCCACGUGUAGCAGUGAAAUGCGUAGAUAUGUGGAGGAAUACCGAUGGCGAAGGCAGCCCCCUGGGAUAAUACUGACGCUCAGACACGAAAGCGUGGGGAGCAAACAGG